This 254-nucleotide long non-coding RNA is filed under the name Pan troglodytes (chimpanzee). Its description in RNAcentral is "long non-coding RNA NONPTRT007583". Lineage: Eukaryota; Metazoa; Chordata; Mammalia; Primates; Hominidae. The record is from RNAcentral.
GGCCAGUCCCGGGAGCGGGGACGCGGAAACCGGGGAGCCGGGGCCGGGGCGCGGCGGCCCCUGAAGGGCCGAGGCCUGCGCGGCCGCGGGCGGCUCUUCUCGACCCCUCGGCCUCUUCGGCCGCGGCGCGCCGGCCUGGGCCGCCGCCUUUGUUGCCCGCAGCUCGCCGGGGAGAGGCCGGGCGGGACUCAGUCUUCCGGUAGCAAAAUAAAUAAUGUUGAAUUCAUUUCAACAAAUGUUUCUGCAACGUCUGC